AUGACUUCCUUGUUUGCUGAUGGAGCAGAGGUAGAAUCUCUUGGUGUUUCCACAGAGAAAACGCUGGCUGUGAAGAGCCGAGAAAGAUGACAUGAUGAAGCCAUCAGGGGAGGCACCAAACAUCCUCAACUCUGCUCACCUAUGGUUUUCUCCAGCCCUCCCAGAGCUCCUCCUGCGCAACCAGGGUAUCCUGACAGAGACCACAUCCUUCAGAAAGGCCUUUUCUGCUCACUUCCUGGGUGUCAUGGUACACAAGAUUACGUCCCAGAAAGCAUGACUGACACUGACUGGCAAGUAUAUCAGAUAAAUGGGAGAGAAGGAUGGCAGUGAAGCGGUAAUGAGAAGUGGGACCAGGAAUCCAGGUGUCAGGGAGGAAGACAUGAAGCAGGCAACGAGAAGAUCUGGAAAGAAGGAGGAGACUCUGAGAGCCAUUGUAAAGGAAGAUGUAGCCGGUUUUGGUAACAGGUUGUGUGUUAUUCUCCUUGAGCUGUGAUUAUGGUUUGGCUGUGUCCCCACCCAAAUCUCAUCUUGAAUUCCCACAUGUUGUGGGAGGGACCUGGUUGGGGGUGAUUGAAUCAUGGGGACAGGUCUUUCCCGUGCUGUUCUUGUGAUAGUGAAUAAAUCUCAUGUUUUAAAAAGGGGAGUUUCCCUGAACAAGCCCUCUUUCCUUCUCUGCCACCGUGUGAGAUGUGCCUUUCACCUUCUGCCAUGAUUGUGAGGCCUUCCACAUGGAACUGUGAGUCCAAUAAACCUCUUUCUUUUGUAAAUUGCCCAGGCUCAGCUAUGUCUUUACCAGCAGUAUGAAAAUGGACUAAUACAAGCUGCCAUCACAAAAUGCUCUAGAUUGGGUGGCUUAGACAACCGACACUUAUAUUCUCACAGUCCUGAGAACUGGAUAUCUGAGAUCAAGAUGCUGCUGGCAGAAUGGGUUUCUGGUGAGUUCUCUCUUCCCGUCUUGAAUACAGCUACCAUCUUGCUGUGUCCUCACAUGGCCUUUCCUCUG
RNAcentral lists this long non-coding RNA (1003 nucleotides) under Macaca mulatta (Rhesus monkey). Its description in RNAcentral is "lncRNA (ENSMMUG00000050609.1)". Lineage: Eukaryota; Metazoa; Chordata; Mammalia; Primates; Cercopithecidae. The record is from RNAcentral.